UGCAAUUCAAACAGCUACCAUGCAGUCGAGCGGUAACAGGGGUAGCUUGCUACCCGCUGACGAGCGGCGGACGGGUGAGUAAUGCAUGGGAAUCUGCCCGAUAGUGGGGGAUAACUCGGGGAAACCCGAGCUAAUACCGCAUACGUCCUACGGGAGAAAGCAGGGGAUCUUCGGACCUUGCGCUAUCGGAUGAGCCCAUGUCGGAUUAGCUUGUUGGUGAGGUAACGGCUCACCAAGGCUGCGAUCCGUAGCUGGUCUGAGAGGAUGAUCAGCCACACCGGGACUGAGACACGGCCCGGACUCCUACGGGAGGCAGCAGUGGGGAAUAUUGGACAAUGGGGGAAACCCUGAUCCAGCCAUGCCGCGUGUGUGAAGAAGGCCUUAGGGUUGUAAAGCACUUUCAGUGGGGAAGAAGGCAUGAUGAUUAAUACUCGUCAUGAAGGACAUCACCCACAGAAGAAGCACCGGCUAACUCCGUGCCAGCAGCCGCGGUAAUACGGAGGGUGCAAGCGUUAAUCGGAAUUACUGGGCGUAAAGGGCGCGUAGGCGGCUUGCCAAGCCGGAUGUGAAAGCCCCGGGCUCAACCCGGGAACGGCAUUCGGAACUGGCAGGCUAGAGUGCAGGAGAGGAAGGUGGAAUUCCCGGUGUAGCGGUGAAAUGCGUAGAGAUCGGGAGGAAUACCAGUGGCGAAGGCGGCCUUCUGGACUGACACUGACGCUGAGGCGCGAAAGCGUGGGUAGCAAACAGGAUUAGAUACCCUGGUAGUCCACGCCGUAAACGAUGUCGACCAGCCGUUGGACCCCUUGAGGGUUUGGUGGCGCAGUUAACGCAAUAAGUCGACCGCCUGGGGAGUACGGCCGCAAGGCUAAAACUCAAAUGAAUUGACGGGGGCCCGCACAAGCGGUGGAGCAUGUGGUUUAAUUCGAUGCAACGCGAAGAACCUUACCUGCUCUUGACAUCCUGCGAAUCUCCCAGAGAUGGGAGAGUGCCUUCGGGAACGCAGAGACAGGUGCUGCAUGGCUGUCGUCAGCUCGUGUUUGUGAAAUGUUGGGUUAAGUCCCGUAACGAGCGCAACUCCUAUCCCUUUUUGCCAGGCGGUUCCCGACGGCACUUCAGGAGACUGCCCGGUGACAACUGAAGAAGGUGGGACGACGUCCAAGUUCAUUCAUUGCUCCUAACGAAGCAAGGCUACACCACACGGUUGGCCUUACCAGAUG
This 1217-nucleotide ribosomal RNA is filed under the name Kushneria sp. RNAcentral describes it as "bacterial SSU rRNA". It matches the Rfam family "Bacterial small subunit ribosomal RNA", at positions 45 to 1245 of the family's 1533-position model. Lineage: Bacteria; Pseudomonadati; Pseudomonadota; Gammaproteobacteria; Oceanospirillales; Halomonadaceae. The record is from RNAcentral.